AGUGAACGCUGGCGGUAGGCCUAACACAUGCAAGUCGAACGGCAGCACAGUAAGAGCUUGCUCUUACGGGUGGCGAGUGGCGGACGGGUGAGGAAUACAUCGGAAUCUACUUUUUCGUGGGGGAUAACGUAGGGAAACUUACGCUAAUACCGCAUACGACCUACGGGUGAAAGCAGGGGAUCUUCGGACCUUGCGCGAUUGAAUGAGCCGAUGUCGGAUUAGCUAGUUGGCGGGGUAAAGGCCCACCAAGGCGACGAUCCGUAGCUGGUCUGAGAGGAUGAUCAGCCACACUGGAACUGAGACACGGUCCAGACUCCUACGGGAGGCAGCAGUGGGGAAGAUUGGACAAUGGGCGCAAGCCUGAUCCAGCCAUACCGCGUGGGUGAAGAAGGCCUUCGGGUGGUAAAGCCCUUUUGUUGGGAAAGAAAAGCAGCAGGUUAAUACCCCGCUGUUCUGACGGUACCCAAAGAAUAAGCACCGGCUAACUUCGU
RNAcentral lists this ribosomal RNA (491 nucleotides) under uncultured bacterium. RNAcentral's name for it is "partial 16S ribosomal RNA". It matches the Rfam family "Bacterial small subunit ribosomal RNA", at positions 29 to 506 of the family's 1533-position model. The record is from RNAcentral.